Cyprinus carpio (common carp) is the source of this 1242-nucleotide long non-coding RNA. RefSeq lists it as uncharacterized. The record is from RefSeq and is a predicted model, not a curated record. The transcript is spliced from 3 exons. NCBI's taxonomy places the organism in Eukaryota, Metazoa, Chordata, Actinopteri, Cypriniformes, Cyprinidae.
ACGUAAUUCUUCUUAAUGUGACAAAUGAACUGCUCUAAUCUCUAGCAAGCUCUUCGCUCGCCUCCCGCGUUCAGCUGUGCUAAAUGAAAGCUUUUAUGCAAAUGAAAUAUUUUAAGGGGGCACAAGUUAUUUUUUAUUCAAAUAAGCACGGUAGCUCCUCGUAAAGCGGAUUUGAACUUGUCACGUAAACAAGUGUCACCGAAUGCUGAAUCUUGGCACCCAUAUCAUCGCUUCGAAACUCUAUAUUCAGAUUCCCACUUUGUGACACGUCGCGGUAAAGCUUGUUAGCUUUAGCCCAGGUUCUUUAACGGUGACUCACCUGUUUGUACAGUAAACAGGGAACUUCAAACGGCCACGGAAACUAGGAGCCCAGAUAACGUCCAUCUCCUGUGAGACGUGCUCGGUUGAAAGCUUACUCUAUCAACAGAGCAAACAGGCUAAAUUAUGCACAGUAAUACACAGGGCCCCGCGCACGCGCAUCAAUCACCUGUAAGCGGAAUGCAAUCGAUCACAUUCGCGAAAACGUCACCGCACGCUCACACCAGAACUAUUUCCUCCCUAUAGCUUGUAAGGAAUUACAUUACAGCACAAUUCUGCCAGCUUAGACGCGAAUGCAUUUAAACAUUUACAACAAUACAUCACAAUAUAUGGCGCUGUCACCGUGGAGCCAAGAGGCAUAUUGCCAAGUCUCAGGCAAUGUGACUCCAGCACUCUGGAAUGACAAACCCUCCGUCUGCAGUAUUUACGACGAUCUGUGGUGUUCAUAAUGCAUUGGCCGUCCCGGAGCAGAAAGCAGACAGGCUUUCUAAUCUAACAUGGCGUGCUGCAGACCGGCGGAGAGAGAAAGAGAGAGAGAGAGCUGUCACAGAGACAUGCAGCCUCACAGCCGUGGACACAUCCAUAAUGUGGAACUCAGUGGGCCAAGCACAUCCCAGCGUUCCCCUCUUCAUCACAAAUUCCAACACAAGCCCUUCUGCCACCAGCACGCAGAGUACACAGAGUUCUGACUAGCUUCUGAAUUCAAUAUCAAACCCAGGUUGCAGAAAGGGACUGGUGAAUCUCUUCACAAUCUUCAGGAUCUCAGACUAUUAAUUCCAGUGAGGAAUGUCCUCAUAUUGGCUGGUGCUCAGAACAAAGCGCUUCAACACAGCAUGAAAAAUGACACCUCCACCUGUUCUACCCCCACUUCCACAACUGUGAAUUAUGGGUAAGUUUCUGUGCCAAUGCAUAUGAGUAACCACC